RNAcentral lists this ribosomal RNA (460 nucleotides) under uncultured bacterium. RNAcentral's name for it is "partial 16S ribosomal RNA". It matches the Rfam family "Bacterial small subunit ribosomal RNA", at positions 338 to 795 of the family's 1533-position model. The record is from RNAcentral.
CCUACGGGAGGCAGCAGUGAGGAAUUCUGGUCAAUGGGCGUAAGCCUGAACCUGCCAAGUCGCGUGAGGGAUGAAGGUUCUAUGGAUCGUAAACCUCUUUUAUAAGGGAUUAAAGUGCGGGACGUGUCCCGCUUUGUAUGUACCUUAUGAAUAAGGUUCGACCAACUCCGUGCAAGCAGCCGCGGUAAUCAGGAGGAUCCGAGCGUUAUCCGGAUUUAUUGGGUUUAAGGGGUGCGUAGGCGGCCUUAUAAGUCAGGGGUGAAAGUCUGUGGCUCAACCAGAGAAUUGCCGAUGAAACUGGGAGGCUUGAGUAUGUUUGAGGCAGGCGGAAUGCGUGGUGUAGCGGUGAAAUGCGUAGAUAUCACGCAGAACCCCGAUGGCGAAGGCAGCCUGCCAAGCCAUGACUGACGCUGAUGCACGAAAGCGUGGGGAUCAAACAGGAUUAGAUACCCGUGUAGUC